CUGAGGGUAAGUCAGUGGUAGACAUCCUGGUUUGGAAUCAGGGAGCCGCAGGUUCGAAUCCCGCUCCUCAGACCA
RNAcentral lists this transfer RNA (75 nucleotides) under Sulfurovum sp. Its description in RNAcentral is "tRNA-Pro". It matches the Rfam family "tRNA". From Rfam's summary of the family: Transfer RNA (tRNA) molecules are approximately 80 nucleotides in length. Their secondary structure includes four short double-helical elements and three loops (D, anti-codon, and T loops). Further hydrogen bonds mediate the characteristic L-shaped molecular structure. tRNAs have two regions of fundamental functional importance: the anti-codon, which is responsible for specific mRNA codon recognition, and the 3' end, to which the tRNAs corresponding amino acid is attached (by aminoacyl-tRNA synthetases). tRNAs cope with the degeneracy of the genetic code in two manners: having more than one tRNA (with a specific anti-codon) for a particular amino acid; and 'wobble' base-pairing, i.e. permitting non-standard base-pairing at the 3rd anti-codon position. Lineage: Bacteria; Pseudomonadati; Campylobacterota; Epsilonproteobacteria; Campylobacterales; Sulfurovaceae. The record is from RNAcentral.